Cinara cedri is the source of this 290-nucleotide non-coding RNA. NCBI's taxonomy places the organism in Eukaryota, Metazoa, Arthropoda, Insecta, Hemiptera, Aphididae. The record is from the annotation of a GenBank genome assembly.
UAUUACCCGUCUCUUAACACGAUAUACGGUAUAGUAACUAUCAUCGUGUAGACUUGACUACGAGGAGAUUUUUUAUUUUUUUAAUUGCUGUCGUGGAACUUCCCGAGGCCCGUAUUCCUGUAUAGCAGGUUCAUUCGAUCAAUUAAUUUACACGCGCACGGUGUGUUUGCAAUUAGUGGUUAACAGUCCCGUGUAUUGUACGAUUAAUCUAAAAUAAUAUGCAACAUUUCUGAAAUAACAUAUUUUUUACCUAUCUGACAUUUUAACAGUGAUCAGAAGGGCUCGACCCU